GGUCGAGCCGUAGUUGGAUUUCUGUUGAGGCGGCCGGUGUGAUACGUGAUUACAGGUUGGUCCGGCAUCUUGAGGCACGAGGGAGUUUAUCGGCUUCGAGUUUUAGGUUUUACUUUGAGGAAUUAGAGUGUUCACGGCAAGCAAGCGCUUUGAAUACAUUAGCAUGGAAUAAUAAUAUAGGACCUUCGUUCUAUUUUGUUGGUUUCUAGAACUUGGGUAAUGAUUAAUAGGGACAAUUGGGGGCAUUCGUAUUAACGCGUCAGAGGUGAAAUUCUUAGAUUGCGUUACGGCGAACUACUGCGAAAGCAUUUGCCAAAGAUGUUUUCAUUGAUCAAGAACGAAAGUAUGGGGAUCGAAGAUGAUUAGAUACCGUCGUAGUCUAUACCAUAAACUAUGCCAACUAGGGAUUGGACAGGUACAUUUAUCGACCUGUUCAGCACCUUAUGAGAAAUCAAAGUUUUUGGGUUCCGGGGGGAGUAUGGUCGCAAGGCUGAAACUUAAAGGAAUUGACGGAAGGGCACCACCAGGAGUGGAGCCUGCGGCUUAAUUUGACUCAACACGGGAAAACUUACCAGGUCCAGACAUAGUAAGGAUUGACAGAUUGAAAGCUCUUUCUUGAUUCUGUGGGUGGUGGUGCAUGGCCGUUCUUAGUUGGUGGAGUGAUUUGUCUGGGUUAAUUCCGUUAACGAACGAGAUCUUAACCUGCUAAA
This 710-nucleotide ribosomal RNA is filed under the name uncultured marine alveolate. RNAcentral describes it as "SSU rRNA". It matches the Rfam family "Eukaryotic small subunit ribosomal RNA", at positions 643 to 1355 of the family's 1831-position model. The record is from RNAcentral.